This is a long non-coding RNA of Canis lupus familiaris (dog), 1562 nucleotides long. RefSeq lists it as uncharacterized. The record is from RefSeq and is a predicted model, not a curated record. NCBI's taxonomy places the organism in Eukaryota, Metazoa, Chordata, Mammalia, Carnivora, Canidae. The transcript is spliced from 5 exons.
AGCACAAAUGUUCCUGGAUUCUCUACUAAGCUUUAUUUCCCCUUCAAAAUUUACAACACCAAACAACAUCUGGAUUCUAUUUCAGUCUGAGCAAUGGGCAGAGGAGAACCCAGAACCAAAUUGAGAAUGAUGAAAUGCCUACCUGGUGAGAUGAAGUGAAGGAAAUGACAUAGGCAUCAAGACGUAGUGAGGCUACUGCUGCCCUGACAAAGCAUCAGAAAGAGGAUCAUCUGCUUCCAGACAGUGGUUGACCACAGACCCUGGGUGUUGGCCAUGUUGCUAGCUGGAGGACCACACUGAGGAGGAAUGCUCUACCAGAACUUCUGAUGAAAAGGCACAAAUUCUCAACUCAGUUACCUCGGAUUAUUGAAUUUGCAGACGUUAUAGAAAUUGAAGUUCAGCUUUCCAAACUCCAACAAAUUCUACAGGCAGCAAUUACCACUGAUGUCCAAGAAAAUAGGCAGUGAUCUAUUUCCAAUUAAAGUUUCCUUUAAUGACCCCCAUCUCCCUGAAGGGCAGGUACAGGCAGCUAGGCGAUGACAAGAGAUGUUUACUUGAAGAUCUUGCCCUGAUUGAAGGUUUUGCCCACAUGCUGGAAGGCCCCCGUCCCAGGAAAAGUACUCUCGAACCAGCGUCUGGGUCUCCUCGCUGCCAGGAUCCAGUUUCCGCCACGUAUAGGACUCGUAGUCCACCUGCCAAUCUGGACUCAGCGAAAGGCAAGCUCCUGGCCUCGGAAGACCCAGACUCCAGAAAUGGAGCUGCUGUUGUUGGUUCCAAAGAGUAUGACACUGGCAAAGGCAUUCUUCCUCAGCUUGUCCAACCGUUGGAACAUUCCAGUGAUGAGGUUACAACUCAUAAAGGUCUGAGUGAGCUCCUCAGGGAAGCGGAACUCAGUGUACCACAGGGACCAGCCAUCCUUAUCGAAGGGCUCCCAGAAGUGCUUCCAUUGAUGCUGCACAUUAUGUCUAUACUAGAAAUCAGCAAUCUAAGGCAUGAUCAGAAGCCAAAUUUGUCCCCUUAGAAGGGACAAAUUAUACUCAAUCCCUAAGCACAUAUCUGAUCGUUAAACUAGAACAAAAACAAUUUACAUUUUUCUUCCAAUUUUUCUCAUGUUAAAGUAAAUAAUUUUUUUAUGGUAUUGCCUUUGACUUACCUUAAAAGAAUAAAAAAAGGCAGGAGCAAUUAUGAGCUAAUGAUUAUCAUUAAUAAUGUUAAAUUUUAAAUAAUUUAAGGCAUUUUAGUGUUCUUUCUUAUUAUCCGAAAAGUAACUAUGCAGUUGCAAAAAAGGGGGGAAAAACACACUUUAUUCUUUUCUUUCCUUUAACCUCAUGUAAGCCAAAACAAACAAACAAACAAAAGGCAGGGAUGCAAAGCCAGUAAUGAGAAGCUCCCUGUUUGAGACGGUGGUAACUUUUAUCAGUGGAUAUUGGACAAGGGAAGGAACAGGAUGAGAGCAUGCGGCUAUAAGAACGGAUGGCUGGUGUUAAUGAUAUUUAAUUGCACUGACUUAUAAGGAUAGACAGAGAUAUAUAUUGUUGAUCAAUUGAUUUUAGGAAUAUUCA